UAAGGCUUUGAUGAAGUUGGAACUUC
Molecule: non-coding RNA, 26 nt
Filed under: Mus musculus (house mouse)
Lineage: Eukaryota; Metazoa; Chordata; Mammalia; Rodentia; Muridae
Source: RNAcentral